Molecule: long non-coding RNA, 798 nt
Organism: Micropterus salmoides (largemouth bass)
Lineage: Eukaryota; Metazoa; Chordata; Actinopteri; Centrarchiformes; Centrarchidae
Exons: 2
Source: RefSeq, a predicted model, not a curated record
AGGGAUAUAAAAAUGUUCUUACAUGAUGCCCAAUAUUAGCUGUCACUUAUAGUAAAGAAACUGCAAAAUUACACUGCAAUUAUAUAUUAUCAUAUGACUACAAUAUGUGGUGAAAUGCACAUUUUUUUGUACAUGUGUAUGGAUGUAAACUGGCAGGUCAACCCUCUAGUAGUUUUAGUAAAACUAUGCAGAUAGUGUGCUAUUGUGUUUCCUUUUAGAAGCACAUUGUUGUUAUAGGUGUGCCGAUGGGGAAAGGGGGGCCAUAAACAGCAGUUAAAAAGGUUUUCAAAGACAAACGUGGCGCAUAAUGGGACAACAGGGACCUCCCCCUUCUUAUAUAUAUCUUUAAAAUGGUCUUGUGUGAUUACAAAGAAAAAGUAAAUACUGCUACAUGGCAACACCACUCUGCAUGGGACCUUUGACUAUAACCAUUGCGGGAUAUUGGAGCAUUUCUCAUUCCCUCCCUCCACCAGUCCAGGAGCGGCAACUGUCUGGCUGCCAGCCCACUUUCCAAGCUGGAGCGUCUUGUAAGCUCAUCUCUCAGAGGACCACUUGAGGGUCAGAGGAGGAUUUUCAGGGCACCGAGCCAUGGCCUGUUCGUUGUUGCUAAUGAUGGUUUAGGAAUUGAAGCUUAUUCUUCUGCUGUGCUCAAGUGGUCAAGUGGGAGCUAGGUGCCAAUAAUUCUGUAACAUGUCUACAAAAAUGGGUUUUAUCUAUACUGACCUGCUGAAGAUCAUGCUGCAGGUCAGUUACUCUCACAAAUUAAUAUAAUUAAUAAAUAUAAUAAUUAUCACGAAA